Molecule: ribosomal RNA, 159 nt
Filed under: Scutellinia crinita
Lineage: Eukaryota; Fungi; Ascomycota; Pezizomycetes; Pezizales; Pyronemataceae
Description: 5.8S ribosomal RNA
Rfam family: 5.8S ribosomal RNA
About the family: 5.8S ribosomal RNA (5.8S rRNA) is a component of the large subunit of the eukaryotic ribosome. It is transcribed by RNA polymerase I as part of the 45S precursor that also contains 18S and 28S rRNA.
Source: RNAcentral
AAACUUUCAACAACGGAUCUCUUGGUUCUCGCAUCGAUGAAGAACGCAGCGAAAUGCGAUAAGUAGUGUGAAUUGCAGAAUUCAGUGAAUCAUCGAAUCUUUGAACGCACAUUGCGCCUCCUGGCUAUUCCGGGAGGCAUGCCUGUUCGAGCGUCAUUA